Molecule: ribosomal RNA, 482 nt
Filed under: uncultured bacterium
Lineage: Bacteria
Description: partial 16S ribosomal RNA
Rfam family: Bacterial small subunit ribosomal RNA
Source: RNAcentral
AUUGAACGCUGGCGGCAUGCUUUACACAUGCAAGUCGAACGGUAACAGGCCGCAAGGUGCUGACGAGUGGCGAACGGGUGAGUAAUGCGUCGGAACGUGCCCAGUCGUGGGGGAUAACUACUCGAAAGAGUAGCUAAUACCGCAUACGAUCUAUGGAUGAAAGCGGGGGACCGUAAGGCCUCGCGCGAUUGGACCGGCCGAUGUCAGAUUAGGUAGUUGGUGGGGUAAAGGCUCACCAAGCCAACGAUCUGUAGCUGGUCUGAGAGGACGACCAGCCACACUGGGACUGAGACACGGCCCAGACUCCUACGGGAGGCAGCAGUGGGGAAUUUUGGACAAUGGGCGCAAGCCUGAUCCAGCAAUGCCGCGUGCAGGAAGAAGGCCUUCGGGUUGUAAACUGCUUUUGUACGGAACGAAACGGCUCUGGUUAAUACCCGGGGCUAAUGACGGUACCGUAAGAAUAAGCACCGGCUAACUACGUG